UUCCUUCCAAUAUUGACCAGAUGAUGCCCAAUUUGAAUUCUUUGUAUCUUUCUGAGAAUCAUUUGAAUGGCAAUAUUCCUCGCUCUAUCUGUAACAUGCAGCAAUUGCAAGAAUUGUCUCUUUUUGAGAAUCAUUUGAAUGGCACUAUUCCUCCCUUUGUUUACAACAUGAAGCAGUUGCAAAUCUUGUCUCUAAGGAGCAAUCAAUUUCACGGAGAAUUUCGUCAUGCAUGGAGUGUGGGGAGCAAUAUGAGGUAUCUAGAUGUUAGUCAAAACAAUCUCUCGGGUAAUAUUCCCACAUCAUUGGGGGUAUUAAUUUCACUGGAAGUAUUAAAGCUCAACAACCUUGACGGUGAAAUUCCAAAUUCCUUGCAAAAUUGUUCUCAGUUGACGAGUAUUGAUCUUGGAGACAACAAGUUAUUUGGCAAAAUAUCACAGUGGAUAGGAGGAUUAAAUGUAUCCAUGUUGAAUAUGAUACGAUUACGGUCCAACAAAUUUAGUGGACAUAUAUCCCAGCAACUGUGCAAUCUUCAACAACUUCAUAUCCUCGACCUUAGUCACAACAACAUUUCAGGUACUAUUCCCAAGUGUUUGGGUAAUUUGGCUUCACUGGUCAAUGAUUCAUAUACAUCGUUUGAUACUUCUUAUGACUCUGAUGAGCAAACCACACUGACACUAAAAGGAAGGGAACUUGUGUACAAUAAUACUAUAUAUCUUGUAAAGAGUAUUGAUCUUUCAUCAAAUACUUUACAAGGUGAAAUCCCUGAAGAAAUAAGUAGCCUCAUUCUAUUGGGUACCUUGAACUUGUCUAGGAAUCAAUUGACUGGAAAGAUCCCUUCCGAGAUCGAAAACUUGCAUUGGCUCAAAACAUUUGAUCUCUCACACAACCACCUUUCAGGACAGAUUCCUCAAAGCUUGUCAUCUUUAACCUCAUUAUCCCACUUGAACUUGUCUUACAACAACUUGUUUGGAAGAAUUCCUUCAGGAAACCAGCUUCAAACGCUCAUUGAUCUGUCCAUUUAUAUGGAAAAUCCAUCGCUAUGCGGCGUUCCUCUCUCAACUAAGUGCCCUGGAGAUGACACUUUCCCAUCUAAGGAUACAAAAGACAUGAAUGAAGGUGGAAAUGAUGAGUUGUGGUUCUAUAUCAGCAUGGUACUUGGCUUUAUUGUAGGCUUUUGGGGGGUUUGCGGCACAUUGAUCUUAAAGACAUCAUGGAGGUAUGCAUAUUUUCAGUUCUUCGACAACAUCAAAGACAAGACCGCCGAUUUAACGAGACGACUCAGACCUCUGCAACGGUCGACUGUUCUCAUUCCGCUCCAUCUCCGAAGAUCAGAAUCCGAGAAGAGCAAGAGAUAUCUCCAAAAUGACGUCGUUUAAGAAAUUGGAUCAUCGGCAGAGCACUACCACACUUGUAGAGAGAAGCAAAAUGUUGGCUGCUAAGGUCGGAAAAAUCCAUAAAGCCAGAAUUCGGCGUAGGACAGAAAACUCAACAUGCUCACGUGGUGUGGAACCGCAAUUCUGGGUUCUUCUGCUGGUUUUAAGGUCUUGUGGUGGUGAUUUAUUUACUUCUGACCUUCUUUUUCGAUAUUUUAAACAGUUGGUGUCUCAAGUUUUAAGGUUUAUACAGAAAGUGACACUGCCAAAGCUGAUGCUGGGAUCGGGUAAUUGUAGUUUUAAAUUUGUGCAAUUUCAUUUCGAUUAUCGAAUGUUAUGGUUUUAAUCAAUGUCUAAGUUGUUUUAGAACUAAAAUCAACUAAGCCUUCCUUCCAGAAUUUAAAUCUUGGGAUUUUUAUUUGUAUGCAAACUGUGCUAACAAUUCAAAUAGAAUGGGAGCAUUGUACAAUGAUGUCGCUAAGUAGAGGCCAAAAAGUAUUAGAUAUUAGCUGUAUCUGCCCACUUCCUGCAAGUUCUUGGCAAUUGCCUAGAUUGUUCGGGGGAAUUAUAUCUGUGUGCUGCGUUUAAUUUCGGUAGUGAUGCAACAGUUAACAAAGUAUCGGCUGUGGAGAAUGCAGCUUCUUUAAAGGCUGGUUUGAAAUGUAUGGAGAAGCAAAAAGGCAUACUUGGUAGUUCUUGCAGCAAAUGCAAAUGUUGGAAGAAGAGCAUUGGCCGAUGUCUGCAAUGGCAAAAGCAACUCUUCUAGGAUUGUUGGGGGUGAUGCCUCUAAAAGAAAGAGCGGUUAAGGGUUUCAGUGGGUACAGGCGUUAAGACUGUGAAUUUAUCAUCAAGGAUAUCCCUUGCUGGGAAAAGGGCGGGAAAGCUUUAAUACUUCAGAAAUGCUGGUAUGGUUUCCCGGAUUCAAUUGUACCAUUUGAAAUUUUUUUUAUUAUGGAUAAACUGUAGCUAUUAAAGAGUUGAAGGCACCUUCAGAGAAUCAAAGGACCAAGGCUAUGGGUCUAAACCGUGAAUCUAUUGUUACUGAUGGCAGGUCUGAGCCACCUUUGUUUUCCGUCUUUAUAAGAAAUUAGAAAUUGUGCCGCAAUUUGUUUGUUGUGCUUUUGAAAUAUUCUAAUCCGGCUCAUAUGCUUAUGAAACUAAACAUAUAAAGACCCUUGAUUAAACUUAUAACUUUUUUUUCAGGAGGACUUCAAAUACUUCACUUAAGCUGAUAACGUGUCUGACCUGCAGACAUGUUUGUUUAUUUACUGUGGAUAAGAUCUGUAUCUGUUAUUGAUAUAUUUUCUAUUUCCUCUCUCCAUUUUAAAGGAGAUCAUUGCUGGUGCUAAAGGUCAACCCAGAGGAAGCAAGUAUUCCGAAGG
Molecule: RNA transcript, 2755 nt
Organism: Pyrus x bretschneideri (Chinese white pear)
Lineage: Eukaryota; Viridiplantae; Streptophyta; Magnoliopsida; Rosales; Rosaceae
Gene name: receptor-like protein EIX2
Exons: 9
Source: RefSeq, a predicted model, not a curated record